This 46-nucleotide non-coding RNA is filed under the name Simonsiella muelleri ATCC 29453. RNAcentral's name for it is "PreQ1 (pre queuosine) riboswitch aptamer". It matches the Rfam family "PreQ1 (pre queuosine) riboswitch aptamer". From Rfam's summary of the family: This family is a bacterial riboswitch that binds to the metabolite preQ1, an intermediate in the biosynthesis of the modified nucleoside queuosine from GTP. One example of this riboswitch is located in the leader of the Bacillus subtilis ykvJKLM (queCDEF) operon which encodes four genes necessary for queuosine production. The record is from Rfam by way of RNAcentral. Lineage: Bacteria; Pseudomonadati; Pseudomonadota; Betaproteobacteria; Neisseriales; Neisseriaceae.
CAAAACGCGGUUCGCAACCCUCCCGCGAUAACAAAACUAAGGAAUU